Molecule: ribosomal RNA, 397 nt
Filed under: uncultured bacterium
Lineage: Bacteria
Description: partial 16S ribosomal RNA
Rfam family: Bacterial small subunit ribosomal RNA
Source: RNAcentral
AUACGUAGGGAGCGAGCGUUGUCCGGAAUUACUGGGUGUAAAGGGAGCGUAGGCGGGAGUGCAAGUCAGAUGUGAAAUACAUGGGCUCGACCCGUGGGCUGCAUUUGAAACUGCAUUUCUUGAGUGAAGGAGAGGUAAGCGGAAUUCCUGGUGUAGCGGUGAAAUGCGUAGAGAUCGGGAGGAACACCAGUGGCGAAGGCGGGUAACUGGACUGCAACUGACGCUGAGGCGCGAAAGUGUGGGGAGCAAACAGGACUAGAUACCCUGGUAGUCCACACUGUAAACGAUGAAUGCUAGGUGUAAGAGGUAUCGACCCCUUUUGUGCCGGAGUUAACACAAUAAGCAUUCCGCCUGGGGAGUACGGCCGCAAGGUUGAAACUCAAAUGAAUUGGCGGGG